AUGCUCCUUCAAAGUUUGGGCGGCUGUAAAUUGCUUGUUCCUAUUUUUUGUGGGUGUCAAUGGCUUGUUCGAUGUGCCCGAGCUGGUUAUUGCGGAUUGGGAGACUUGGCUUCGGUCCAUGCGUGGUGGAGUUUGACGACCCUCUCGCCCGGUCACAGGAGGAAGGCCAUCGCCUUGCUCGUUAUGCUUGUCACCUGGAAGCUAUGGAACGAAAGAAAUGCACGCGUCUUCUGAAAUAAAUCGAUUUUGCUCACAACCAUCAUUGCUAAUAUCAGGACAGAGGCGCGGAAUAAUUGGGUCCUCAUAAGGGCAAAAAAUUUGAGCUCUUUGAUGUCGUGA
This 339-nucleotide ribosomal RNA is filed under the name Triticum aestivum (bread wheat). RNAcentral describes it as "partial small subunit ribosomal RNA". The record is from RNAcentral. Lineage: Eukaryota; Viridiplantae; Streptophyta; Magnoliopsida; Poales; Poaceae.